Molecule: unclassified non-coding RNA, 294 nt
Filed under: plant metagenome
Description: partial contains small subunit ribosomal RNA, internal transcribed spacer 1, and 5.8S ribosomal RNA
Source: RNAcentral
UUUCCGUAGGUGAACCUGCGGAAGGAUCAUUAUUGAAAUAAACCUGAUGGGUCGCUGCUGACUCUCUCGGGAGCAUGUGCACACUUGUCAUCUUUAUAUCUCCACCUGUGCACCUUUUGUAGAUCUGGAUAUCUUUCUGAAUGCCUGCAUUCAGGUUUGAGGAUUGACUUGUCUUUCCUUACAUUUCCAGGCCUAUGUUUCUUCAUAUACACCAUGUAUGUUAUAGAAUGUAAUGAAAAGGGCCUUUGUGCCUACAAACUUAUACAACUUUCAGCAACGGAUCUCUUGGCUCUC